This 357-nucleotide ribosomal RNA is filed under the name uncultured archaeon. RNAcentral describes it as "bacterial SSU rRNA". It matches the Rfam family "Archaeal small subunit ribosomal RNA", at positions 228 to 591 of the family's 1478-position model. The record is from RNAcentral.
GGUAGUUGGUGAGGUAAUGGCUCACCAAGCCGAUAAUCGAUAGGGGCCGUGAGAGCGGGAGCCUCAAGAUGGGUACUGAGACAGCGACCCAGGCCCUACGGGGCGCAGCAGGCGCGAAACCUCCACAAUGCACGCAAGUGCGAUGGGGCUACCCAAAGUGCUCCAUACGGAGCUGUGGUGGAUGAUUAAUGUACUCCACUACAAACGAGAGGGCAAGGCUGGUGCCACCCGCCGCGGUAAAACCAGCUCUUCAAGUGGUCGGGAUAAUUAUUGGGCUUAAAGUGUCCGUAGCUGGUACGGUAAGUUCCUGGUCAAAUUGGGCAGCUUAACUGUCCUUAUGCUAGGAAUACUACUCUC